This 51-nucleotide transfer RNA is filed under the name Scinax fuscovarius (snouted treefrog). RNAcentral's name for it is "partial tRNA-Ile". Lineage: Eukaryota; Metazoa; Chordata; Amphibia; Anura; Hylidae. The record is from RNAcentral.
GGAAGUGUGCCCGAAAGAUAAGGGCCUCCUUGAUAGGGAGGACCAUAGGGG